AGAAAUGGCUACCACAUCCAAGGAAGGCAGCAGGCGCACAAAUUACCCAAUCCUGACAUGGGGAGGUAGUGACAAUAAAUAACAAUACUGGGCUCAUCGAGCCUGGUAAUUGGAAUGAGUACAACCUAAAUCCCUUAACGAGGAUCCAUUAGAGGGCAAGUCUGGUGCCAGUAGCCACAGUAAUUCCAGCUCCAAUAGUGUAUAUUUAAGUUGCUGUAGUUAAAAAGCUCGUAGUUGGAUCUUGGGUCGUAAAGGUCGGUCCACCUACUCGGUGUGCACCUGCCCUUCCAUCCCUUUUGUCGGCGGUGUGCUCCUGACCUUAAUUGGUUGGGUAACGGCUCCGGCGCUGUUACUUUGAAAAAAUUAGAGUGCUCAAAGCAAGCUUAUGCUCUGAAUACAUUAGCAUGGAAUAACAUGAUAGGAGUCUGGUCCUAUUGUGUUGGCCUUCGGGACUGGAGUAAUGAUUAAUAGGGACUGACGGGGGCAUUCAUAUUUCAUUGUCAAAGGUGAAAUUCUUGGAUUUAUGAAAGACAAACCACUGUGAAAGCAUUUGCCAAGGAUGUUUUCAUUAAUCAAGAAUGAAAGUUGGGGGCUCGAAGACGAUCAGAUACCGUCCUAGUCUCAACCAUAAACGAUGCCGACCAGGGAUCGGCAGAUGUUUCUCUAAGGACUCCGCCAGCAACUUCUGAGUAAUUAGAGUGUUUGGGUUUUGGGGGGAGUAUGGUCGCAAGGCUGAAACUUAAAGGAAUUGAUGGAAGGGAACCACCAAGAGUGGAGCUUGCAGCUUAAUUUGACUCAACACAGGGAAACUUACCAAGUCCAGACAUAGUAAGGAUUGACAGAUUGAGAGCUCUUUCUUGAUUCUAUGGGUGGUGGUGCAUGGCCGCUCUUAGUUUGUGGAGCGAUUUGUCUGGUUAAUUCUGAUAACAAAUGAGACCUCAGCCUGCUAACUAGCUACACGGAGGUUCCCCUUCGCGACCAGCUUCUUAGAGGGACUAUGGCCAUUUAGGCCAUGGAAGUUUGAGGCAAUAAUAGGUUUGUGAUGCCCUUAGAUGUUUUGGGCCACACACGCGCUACACUAAUGCAACAAACAAUCUUUUCUUCCUGGUUCGAGAGGAUCGGGAAAUCUUCUCAAAUUGCAUCAUGAUGGGGAUAGACCAUUGCAAUUAUUGGUCUUCAACGAGGAAUUCCUAGUAAGCGUGUGUCAUCAACUCGUGUUCACUACGUCCCUGCCCUUUAUACACACCGCUCGUCGCUCCUACUGAUUGAAUGAUCCAGUGAGGUGUUCGGAUUGCGUCGACGAUGGUGGUUCGCCGCCAUCGACGUCAUGAGAAGUUCAUUGAACCUUAUCAUUUAGAGGAAGGAGAAGUCGUAAUAAGGUUACCGUAGGUGAACUUGCGGAAG
RNAcentral lists this ribosomal RNA (1404 nucleotides) under Pinus taeda (loblolly pine). RNAcentral describes it as "SSU rRNA". It matches the Rfam family "Eukaryotic small subunit ribosomal RNA", at positions 399 to 1823 of the family's 1831-position model. Lineage: Eukaryota; Viridiplantae; Streptophyta; Pinopsida; Pinales; Pinaceae. The record is from RNAcentral.